RNAcentral lists this ribosomal RNA (273 nucleotides) under uncultured Bacillota bacterium. Its description in RNAcentral is "uncultured Firmicutes bacterium partial 16S ribosomal RNA". It matches the Rfam family "Bacterial small subunit ribosomal RNA", at positions 74 to 339 of the family's 1533-position model. Lineage: Bacteria; Bacillati; Bacillota. The record is from RNAcentral.
AUUUAACGAUGGAUUACCAGUGAGCGGCGGACGGGUGAGUAACACGUGGGCAACCUGCCCUGGAGCGGGGGAUAACAUCUGGAAACAGGUGCUAAUACCGCAUGACUACUAAAACCACAUGGUUUUAGUAUAAAGAAGGCUUCGGCUUUCACUCUAGGAUGGGCCCGCGGUGCAUUAGCUAGUUGGUAAGGUAACGGCUUACCAAGGCGAUGAUGCAUAGCCGAGUUGAGAGACUGAUCGGCCACAAUGGAACUGAGACACGGUCCAUACUCC